RNAcentral lists this transfer RNA (82 nucleotides) under Candidatus Moraniibacteriota bacterium. Its description in RNAcentral is "tRNA-Leu". It matches the Rfam family "tRNA". From Rfam's summary of the family: Transfer RNA (tRNA) molecules are approximately 80 nucleotides in length. Their secondary structure includes four short double-helical elements and three loops (D, anti-codon, and T loops). Lineage: Bacteria; Candidatus Moraniibacteriota. The record is from RNAcentral.
GGGUCGGUGGUGGAACUGGCAUACACGUGGCACUUAAAAUGCUAUGCCGAAAGGAUUGAGGGUUCGACUCCCUCCCGACCCA